AUCUACAGCCAUGCCACCCUGAACAAGCCCGAUCCUGUCUGAUCUCAGAAGCUAAGCAGGGUCGGGCCUGGUUAGUCCUUGGAUGGGAGACCACCUAGGAAGACCAGGUGCUGUAGGCG
Molecule: ribosomal RNA, 119 nt
Filed under: Pteropus alecto (black flying fox)
Lineage: Eukaryota; Metazoa; Chordata; Mammalia; Chiroptera; Pteropodidae
Source: RNAcentral